Molecule: ribosomal RNA, 484 nt
Filed under: uncultured bacterium
Lineage: Bacteria
Description: partial 16S ribosomal RNA
Rfam family: Bacterial small subunit ribosomal RNA
Source: RNAcentral
AUUGAACGCUGGCGGCAGGCCUAACACAUGCAGGUCGAGCGGAUGAAGGGAGCUUGCUCCUGGAUUCAGCGGCGGACGGGUGAGUAAUGCCUAGGAAUCUGCCUGGUAGUGGGGGAUAACGUCCGGAAACGGGCGCUAAUACCGCAUACGUCCUGAGGGAGAAAGUGGGGGAUCUUCGGACCUCACGCUAUCAGAUGAGCCUAGGUCGGAUUAGCUAGUUGGUGGGGUAAAGGCCUACCAAGGCGACGAUCCGUAACUGGUCUGAGAGGAUGAUCAGUCACAGAUGAACUGAGACACGGUCCAGGCUCCUACGGGAGGCAGCAGUGGGGAAUAUUGGACAAUGGGUGAAGGCCUGAUCCAGCCAUGCCGGGUGGGAGAAGAAGGUCUUAGGAUUGUAAAGCACGUUAAGUUGGGAGGAAGGGCAGUAAGUUAAUACCUUGCUGUUCUGACGGUACCAACAGAAGAAGCACCGGCUAACUUCGUG